UCCGGGAUAGCUCAGCGGUAGAGCAAGAAGCUGUUAACUUCGAGGUCGCUGGUUCGAAUCCAGUUCCCGGAGCCA
Molecule: transfer RNA, 75 nt
Filed under: Acinetobacter johnsonii
Lineage: Bacteria; Pseudomonadati; Pseudomonadota; Gammaproteobacteria; Moraxellales; Moraxellaceae
Also listed under: 2 other names
Description: tRNA-Asn
Rfam family: tRNA
About the family: Transfer RNA (tRNA) molecules are approximately 80 nucleotides in length. Their secondary structure includes four short double-helical elements and three loops (D, anti-codon, and T loops).
Source: RNAcentral